This 3641-nucleotide long non-coding RNA is filed under the name Salvia miltiorrhiza (redroot sage). RNAcentral describes it as "long non-coding RNA (SMIL_LNC014456)". The record is from RNAcentral. Lineage: Eukaryota; Viridiplantae; Streptophyta; Magnoliopsida; Lamiales; Lamiaceae.
GACUUGGCUAAAACAUUAUCAGAGUUUGCAACGGAAGGUGUAACUGAAAUAAUCAGUGUUUACAGCGGAAUGCAUAACUGAGAUACAUGUAUGAAGACAUGUAUCCUUUCUAGGCCUACUUUAAGUUCAACAAAAACUCCACUCAGCAACACUUCAUCGCCCAUCACAACUCAACCUGCACAAACAUAAACAUACGAAGGGCUGAGUACAAGAGUACUCAGUGGGCAGUGCCAAGCAUAUAACAUAAUAUCAACAACAAAACACAACUUCGCAUAAGAGGCAUAAGUUUCUUUCAAAUCCUUUGCUCAUUAAACAUUUCCAUAUUCAUAAACAGCAUGAGCGCAUUCUUCAUCAUUAACAAUCAUCAACACGCAUCGUGUCAUGGAGAAGGCCUUCCCCAACGAACACGGGCAUCGCACCGUGAAGGGGGCCUCCCUCAGCGGUCACGGCAUCGUACUAUUGAGGGAGGCCUCCCCCAAUAGACGCUGUAACACUGGAAUACUGGCAUCGCGCCGCUAGGGAGGCCUCCCUCAGCGGACACGGGCAUCGCGCCGUGAGGAAGGCCCUCCUCAGCGGACACGGCAUCGUACUGUUGAGGGAGGCCUCCCCCAACAGACGCAAGCAUCAAUCACAGGCAUAAACUUAUCAGCGUAAAGCAUUCAAGCGUAAAUAAGCGUAAUCAAGCGUAAAUCAUUUAGCGUGAAGCAUAAUAAAGCAUACCAUACUUGAAGAUCCAAUUUGCAUUAUAAAGCAUAACACAUGCAUAGCAUUUUAUUUACGCGUAAGAAAUUGCCCACCUGAUAGCAAGGUUUUGCUAAGGUACUGUGAUUCCUUGAGUAGUUCUUACUCUCGCGCUUGACCUUAAUCACGAGAAUAUAAAAUAAGACAUUGCCUCGAGGAAAAUUCUUAAUUAAUGAGAAAGCGUAAUUGAACUAUGCAUGAAUCUGGUAUGCAUGAACUAAUUUCUGAGCGAUAAUCGGAAAUUCUACUAUUAAUCCUCGUUAAUAGAUUUAGCUAAUUCUCGUCUAGCGCGGUCGAAUAAAACUGUGAUUCUUCUUUCCUCAUCGGAAUAUUCUAGUCGUGAAAUAAACCUCGCAUUUGUACUUGAUUGAAAAAGGACUAACUCGGCUUUAAACGAGGUGUGACCUUGUAGAAAUUAUCGGGUUUUUCGAUAGAAACAUCAUUACUAGCGUAACCUCAAAUAAUUAAUAGGCUCAAAAGAGAGUAGCCAAUUAAUUAAAUAAACCAGUGGCUUUAAAGAAAUAAAGGAUAAUAGUUUGCUUUAAAGUCCGAAGUCCAAAAACAUUAAUUAAUAAACUGGGCGGCUCAUUACUGAUAAAUAAUUGGGCUCCAUUUAAAAUUGAUACCGCUAGGCUUAGCUCAAAGGAGUAACUUUAGCUCAAGCUUUAAAAGAAUUAAAGCCCAACUUAAAAAGUCUUCGACCCAAAACAAUUAAAAUAGGGGUCCAAAUAAUAAUUAAUGUGGACUGAAAAGAAUUAAUCUAGCUUACUUAUUCAAAUAAAAUUGGCCACAUGAAGAAAUAAAUAGGCCGGAUGAAUUUAUUUGGGACAUGGAAUAAAAAGUCUAUCACAACUUUACAUCAGCCCAAACUUAAAACAAUUCGAGCCCAAUCUUUUAAAAUCAAGCCCAAACUUUUUUAAAUAAUAUAGCCCAAAUGAAAUAAAUCAUCCAGCCCAUCUCCUUUAAAAAUUUAGAGCCCAACAGUAAAAUAAUAAGAAUGACCCAACUGUAAUAAAAUAAAUUAGGCCCUACUUAAAUUAAAAUCAGAUGCCCAUACAGUAAUUAAAAUCGGCCCAAUUAAAAAAAUAGAGGCCCAAUUCGAAUUAAAAUGGAAGCCCAAGUCACUAAAAUAUGAAAGCCCAAACUCUCUCUCUCUCUCAAAAUUCUCGGUUCUUCCCUUUUUCUCAAAUCUCACAACCGACACUCUCUCUCUCAAACUCAAAGCAGAACACGCUCUGCUCUUCUUCUCGAUUCAAAAACCAGUCGAUCGGCCCUUCCCAGCUCGCUCGACGUCUUCUUCUCCGGCCAUCCAGCCGCUUGCUCCGGUCGUCGUCAUCUGUCGACGCGUCAAAGCCCCGGCGCCGUCCUCUUUCCUCCCCGCAGAGCCCCGAAAUCGCGCCCUAGAUCUGAAUCGUCAUCGUUGCCGCCGAAAUUGGUCGGUUAGUCGCCGCCUGGGAGCGGCGUUGCUCCGUACUCUGACCAUUCCAGCCACCGGCGACUGCUGCUGUUUCGCCGGAGUCGCGGCCUGGAGUUGCUGCUGUUGCUACUCUUUCGCCCGGAAUCCGGCGAGCGGUCGCCGUCUGAGGUGGGCGAUAUUUUGGAGCGUUGUUUCUGUGUUCAAAACCCGGCGGAAUCCCGUGCCUGGUUUGCACCCAUCGUCGUUGACGUUCUGGGAGUCGGCGGCUUUACCGCGAUUCUGAUUCGGAGCGCCGGUUGGCUUCUCCUUCUUUGGCCGCUGUUUCUGUCAUUCCUAUGCAGGCAAGACUACGAGAGUUCGCUGCCCAUCUUCUUUCCCCGUUCGGCAGUAGGUGGUUCGCUGCCCCUUUUCCCGUCUCUCUCUCUUUUUUUAAAAACUGAACUCUAAUAAUCUCUCUCCUCUCCUCCCAAUUUUCGACAGAAAAAGAAAAAGGCAGCGGCUUGCCGCCGAGCCGUCUCCGGCCGUGAGCAGCCCCCGGCUGUUCUCACCCACUUCUAUUCCGGCGAGUAGCAGCGAAAGCCGCCGCCGAUCCUUGUGUUCACGGCUCAGCAGCCUCACAAUCUCAGCCCUCUCCUCGCCGAUCGACUGCAACGAAGGUCGCCACCUUCGACGGCCUCCUCCAACAACUCACACAUCCCGACUCACAACAACAGCGACAACAGCUUCAUCUCAACACUCACGCCCACACACAAUGCAUAGAUACUCCCUUUUCUUUUCUUUAACCAAUUUGUGAUAAUUCUAAAAUGUAGUAGAAAGAACAUUUUAUGGAACUCAUUUAUCAGAAAAAGAACAAGGUAUGCGUGCUGAUUUCUGUGACAUAAUAUGUGUGCGUAUCCUCUGUGAAUUGUGCAGUCCUAGUUAGUGUUGAUUAUGUACAUGAACAUGUCAUCGGUGAUGGUUUUCUUUAUAAAAUGAAUGACUGAUUUUGAGUGUAUGUGUGAGUUGGUUUACCUCUUAUGAAAAUAAGUUGAUUUCUCCAGGAGUGAGUUGCUGUAAAUUGAUGUUGGCUGCUGUGGUGUUUGAAUCAGUGGAUAGAAACUUGAGAGCUUCGGCUGAAACGAACUGGAAUUGAUCCUCUGAACUGUUGGAUGAAAAUGAAAUGAGAGUGAAUAUUGCAUUUGUUGGGUGGGGAGCAAGUGGUGGUGGAGUUGAUAAUUAAAGGUUUGGAGAUAUUGGAGAUAGUGGUGGUGGUUGGCUGAGGGAGGAAAGCAAAAGGUUGGAGUGGUGUUGGUGGAGUAAAUACGUGUACAUCAUUAACAAAAGAUGGAAAUAAAAAUUGUAUUUAAACUUUAAUUGAUUGAAGAGCUUUUGCUUUUGUAAUAUACUAAACGAUUUUCCCCAAGAUGGGAACUAGCCUGUAAUCUGUGAACUGUAAAUAAAUACUGGCUUCGAUUUUCAAUCAUCGCAUUUCUGUAUCUUGCUU